Molecule: ribosomal RNA, 374 nt
Filed under: uncultured organism
Description: bacterial SSU rRNA
Rfam family: Bacterial small subunit ribosomal RNA
Source: RNAcentral
CGGGGGGAGCAAGCGUUGUUCGGAUUUACUGGGCGUAAAGGGCGCGUAGGCGGCCAGCGCAAGUCAGUUGUGAAAUCUCCGGGCUUAACUCGGAAAGGUCAACUGACACUGCGCGGCUAGAGUGCAGAAGGGGCAACUGGAAUUCUCGGUGUAGCGGUGAAAUGCGUAGAUAUCGAGAGGAACACCUGCGGCGAAGGCGGGUUGCUGGGCUGACACUGACGCUGAGGCGCGAAAGCCAGGGGAGCGAACGGGAUUAGAUACCCCGGUAGUCCUGGCCUUAAACGAUGGAUGCUUGGUGUCUGGAGUUUUAUAGUCUCCGGGUGCCGUAGCUAACGCGUUAAGCAUCCCGCCUGGGGAGUACGGUCGCAAGACUG